GGGGAAACUGAGGCCCGGGAGUGGCUCUCCGCGUCAGCGGCCGCGCGGGGAUCCCGGCGCCUCGCGUCCCCCUCCCGGGGCUUGGCGCGGGAGGCCUCUGGCCGGCACGCGUGUGCAGGGCUCGGCCGCCUCGCAGGCCGCCGGGCGGCCCGCCCUGGAAAACGCCUUUUCGCGCGGGUUUCCGUUUUUUGUGUGUGUGUUUUUUUUUUUAGCCUCUCGUGCCGCGUGCUGUCAUCCGCCCUCCCGCCGCCGCGGGGAAGUGUUCCCUGUCGUGGAAACACGAAGCCCCGGCCGCGUCCCAAACGUUUUCACUUCAGUGGUGACGAACAAAAUUCCCCGCAAACCCCGCGGCCCCGCGCGGCGGUUUACACGCAGACGCGGACCCCGCGGCGAGCUCCCGGGGAAAGCUGGGCCCGCUCCCCAGCCCUCCAGGUCGGGAAAGCGCGCCCCGCGCGGGGCCGAGGGACUGCGGGGUGGGCGACUCCUCCCGAGCCGCGCUCGUUCAGGCAUCUCCGCCCCUUCCCCCCGGAGACCCAACUAUUUCCAAAGCUUUAUGAAUUUUAAAGGGAGAAAGGCUUCUUGACAACGGGGAGGAAAAGGAGAUUCUGACUCAGCAACCGACUUGUUGAGACUUGCAAAACGGAAGAGGAGAGCUUUCCAUGGUAGAGCUCUUGUUGGAAGCGACGGAAGAGGCCCCCAACCUGUGUAUUUCCUCAAGAAACAUUUAACAUCGAGAAGUAGAUAGAUGGAUAUGUAUAUGAGGGUCUAGAUAAAGAAACAGCAGAGUGAUCCAUACUAACAGAUUCUCCAAACUUCCAACACAAACAGAACAGUGUUUUCCUGCCUCUGGAGUCCUUGAGCAAUGUUUGGCUGAGAGACCCACGAGAGGAGUGUUACAAGUGUGAUCUCGGCAGGCUGGGUGCCUAGGACUGCCUCCUUCCUGCACCCGCUCUCCAGCCUGGGCCCACGGCCAAGAGCACCAGAGUUCACCAGAAAGACAAACACUGAGACGCUCCCCAAACACUUGGACUUUAAUUUGCUUCAUGAAAUGCCAGGUUAUUUUCUUUUUCUGGCAGAAUUGGUUGCGCCUCCUCCAAUCUCACAGUCCUGCUCCUGGUAGCAGUUUUCUCGGAAUCUCACCAGUUCAAUUUCAUCUAUCUAUCUAUCUAUCUAUGCAUGCUGUGGUUGUAUCUGCUGCUGCUGCUCCUAAGUCACUUCAGUCGUGUCCGACUCUGUGCGACCCUAUAGAUGGCAGCUCACCAGGCUCCCCCAUCCCUGGGAUUCUCCAGGCAAGAAUACUGGAGUGGGUUGCCAUUUCCUUCUCCAAUGCAUGAAAGUAAAAAGUGAAAGUGAAGUAGCUCAGUCAUGCCUGACUCAGCGACCCCAUGGACUGAAGCCACCAGGAUCCUCCAUCCAUGGGAUUUUCCAGAGUGCAUCAGGUGGAAUGCUGGGCUGGAUGACUCACAAGCCAGAAUCAACAUUGCCAGGAAAAAUAUCAACAACCUCAGAUAAGCAGAUGAUAAUACCACUUUAAUGGCAGAAAGUAAAGAGGAACCAAAGAGCCUCCUGAUGAAGGUGAAAGAGGAGAGUGAAAAAGCUGGCUUUAAAUUCAGCAUUCAAAAAAUAAAAAUCAUGGCAUCCGCUCUCAUGACUUCAUAGCAAAUAGAUGGGCAAAAAGUGAAAACAAUGAUAGAUUCCAUUUUCUUGGGCUCCAAAAUCACUUUGAAUGGUGACUGCAGCCACAAAAUAUAAAGAUUCUUGCUCCUUUUAAGAAAGGCUAUGACAAACCCAGACAGCGUAUUAAAAAGCAGAGACAUUACAUUACCGACAAAGGUCUGUCUAGUCAAAUCUGUGGUCUUUCCAGUAGUCAUGUAUGAAUAUGGGAGUUGGACCAUAAAGAAAGCUGAGCACCGAAGAAUUAAUGCUUUUGAG
Molecule: long non-coding RNA, 1932 nt
Organism: Bos taurus (domestic cattle)
Lineage: Eukaryota; Metazoa; Chordata; Mammalia; Artiodactyla; Bovidae
Source: Ensembl